Molecule: long non-coding RNA, 4992 nt
Organism: Culex pipiens pallens (northern house mosquito)
Lineage: Eukaryota; Metazoa; Arthropoda; Insecta; Diptera; Culicidae
Exons: 3
Source: RefSeq, a predicted model, not a curated record
GAAAAAAAAAUGUAAAUUUACCCAACACUGAAACCAUGUUUAACACGUAAACAUGCUCAAUGUAAAUUUGAAAAACAAUGUAAAGAGUUGUAUUUCACUUAAACAGCCUUCAUGUAAAAUGAGGUUCAAUGUAAUUCAUGAAUCUCAUGGAAACACAAUUUUUGUUUUGGCACAACUUAAAUUUGAAAGUAUGAAAAACAUGUAAAUUUAUUUCAGAUGUAAUUUUUAUCAAAAUGUAAAAUCUAAAAGCAUUUAUAUUUAAAUUUCGAGUUUCUUUUGCAAAUGACAGUUCAAGCGCGAAAGAAAACAAAGUCGAUUGAACGUUAGGUGCGCUCGAAGUGGAAGUUGUUGUUUAUUUUGUUAAGGUAACUUUAACCAAAUGUGGUCAUCAUCAGAGUGAAGUGGAAGUUGUUGUUGUUAUUUAUUUAAUAAUGGUGAUUCGAUGCGAAAUGUGGAAAUGUUUUCUUAAUAAAUUCUGGAGUUUGCUUAAUAAUUACUUGCUACAAGUAUUCCCGGAGCAUCCCGGGAUUAAAUUGAGACGCCUCUUGAGGAUGGAGAAGCAAUAUUUUGUUUAGUUUCGGCUGAUGUUCAGAAAUCGCAAUUUUAUCUUUUCAUGUGCAGUAUUUACUUGCUGGAAAUGUUAAAGUUAAAAAAGGUAAGUAGUGUUUCUUAUUACUACAUUCAAAUUGUUCAGAUCCUACAAAAUUACAGGUCGUGGCAAGCCAGAAACGACUCACAUUUUACCGUGCAAUUUGCUGCCCAUCGGGAGUGACGGCCUGGAACGUGUCUCCGCCAGAGUGACUCCGCUGGUCCAGGAUGAUCUGCUGGCCGUUCAGGUUGUUUCGUUGGUCAACUUCAACGGCCGCGUAUUUACCGCUGCGUCAGGAUUUUUGAGCACAGUCUGAACGGAAGCGGCUGUUCGCCUACUCGGGCAGCGCCACUGGCUGUGCCCCGGAUCAAAACCAUUCAAACAUGAACACUACACACGUUCGAAUAUUCUCCCAAGGAUGCCCCUUAGUUUUCCGCUUCGUUAGGUGAUGCUGGUAGCAGGCGAACGGAACAAGCGGCCGUGACCACCGACCGGGAAUCGGGCGAGCGUCGGUUUGAGGCUGGUGUCAUAAUGUUGGCCGAUCGCGGCAUCGUAUGUAUCGAUGAGUUUGACGAAUUGGGCGAUAUCGGUCGUGCGGCGAUUCGCGAGGACAUGCAACAGUGCCGGGUGAUCAUUUCAAAGGCGGGAAUUCAUGAGUCGUUGAACGCGCGCUGUUCGGUGCUGGCCGUGGCCAAUCCGGUGUACAAUGUUACGUUGAAGGCCUUACCAAUUGCUCUUUUUCUUUUUUUUUUCAGUACGAUCAGUACAAAACUCCGAUAGAAAACAUUGCCCACAGGACUCGCUGCUGUCGCAUUUCGUCCUGCUGGACGUGAUCGACGCCGACCACCUCCGGAUCAUUUCGGACCAAGUGGUGCAGAUGCAUCACUACCGCAGAACAAAACGACGACGUGCUCCCGAUGGGCGUCAAUGCCAUCGACAAUCUGUCCACGAUCAACCCGGAAGAGCGCGAAAAAGGACAAAAAGGAAAAGUUACUGCACGGAAGCAGCUGCAGAAAAAAAAGCAAAUUUCUGGAUGGAACCAUGCACUUGGAAAACGUAGAAGUUGUUUUUGUUGCAAAAUUGACAACUGACGUCUAGGUGUGAACCCCUGCAACUGAAAUUGCUCGUGUAUCAGCGACGCAGCGGAGUAAUGUGAUGUAAGUUUAAGGUAACGAACAAUUAAAAUAUCUGCAAACAAAAAAUAGCAAACUUUUGCCAACAAUUUUGCCAAAGUUGUGUUUCAUGCACAUUUAAGACCGAUUUUGUGAUUCUUGAGUUUUUUUUAAAGGUCCAUAAAGUAUGUCACGCUCUAGGAGAGAGGGGGGGGGGUCUGAGGAAGUGUGACAUUGCAUGUUAUAAGUAUAGGAAAAGCGUGACAAAGGGGGAAGGGAGGAGGGGAGGGGUUAAUUUUGACUGACGUACUUUAUGGAUGAAGCCUAUAAGCUAUUGUGUUUCAUAUGUUUAUAAGAUUUAAAAAACUACAGUUGUAAACUUUUAGUAUGUCCUGCGCAGGGUCUUGGGCCACGUUGUUUACGGCUUUCCCCGCUUUCACCUUACUGACAAUUUUGGCUCGAGCCUCGAGUCGAUCUGGCUCGAGAUCGAACCCAAAAUUCUCAGUGGGUAUGUUUUACAUAAAAGGUGAAGCAUGAACUGGGAUCGACAUAAGUAUCAAUCCAUUUUUAAUUUGUUUUUAUCGUUGUUGAAAUCUCGGGUUAGUUUUCAAAAGGUCCUUAGCACCACAUGUAAUAUAUGUAAAUUGUCGAUCGAUUCUCGUUUUGUGUCGCGAAUAUGAUUUAAUUUUUUUUACAAUUGGGUCCUAAAAUGAAGCUUAGAUUGCUGAUAUUAUUGUUUACAGCGAUAAACCUUAUUUUUCUGAGUACAAUGACCCUUUGUGCGACCACAAAGAGUUUAAAAUGGAUUUUUAAAUCAAUUUUGAAAAUUUAACCUCGCGGUCCUUCUUGACAGCAAAGCUCCUACUUGACAGCUCGUUCCAAGGGGACCAUAGUUGAUCCAUCGAAAAAAUGUUGUCUUGUCAAAUAAAAAAUUUGCAUUAAAAUGAAAAAAAGUGAUCAGAAAUGGUUUAUAAUUGUGUUUUUUACCAUUGUACAUAAAAAUUUACAUAGGGCUUUAGUACCCAAUUGGAACAAGUUAACAUUGAACAAAACUCACAUUUUCUGGCUGUGCUUCGAAUAACAGACUGUCUAGGGAAACAGACUGGCCAAUGCAAAAUAAACAGGCACUGGCAACGUAUGUUUUGUGCUGGGCGUAAAGGGCGUUUGGUGUCCAGAAACAUUGGCCAAUUUGUUUCCCAAGACAAUCUGUACGUCGAAUUAGGUGCAAAAUUGGCAAUAACUUCAACGCCAGAAACAAAUCACUCCAAACGCUUAAAUUGCUUAUGCUUAUCCACCCUUUUCUUAUGUUGCUCCAUAUAAAUAAUAUUAUAUUUGCAGAUUUUUUGCUUUGCCAAUACAUAUAAAUUAUGCUUGGGCUGAAAAGCAAACUCAGUUACAGGGGUAGUCGACAUUCGCGACAUCCCCGAGCGCGAGCUGCAGAAAAACAACACAAAGCAGAAACUGUCAAAUCUGAAAAGUCUCCGACUCGCUAAACUCGCUGCGUAAAAUGUUUUUUUUUUUUUUUUUUUUUUUCCUUUGGGCUGACAGGCUAAGACCGCGGUUGGAUAGACAAAUCCAGCGAAAGCUCAACGCUGCUUUUUGAUGGUGAGAGAUUUGACAGCUCCCAUACUAAAUUUCUCGAUUUUCAUACUUUUUGUUAAUUUUCUUUUAAAAUAAAACACUUAACAUAUGAAAACUAUAUAUUUUUGGUGCCCAAAAUUCCUGCUGAAUCGAAUGGUGUACUUAUCUCAAUUGCAAAUUUUUCGAACAGUUUUUAUUUUAAUAAUAUUCUAGACACAUUUUGUGCACCUAAUCAAUCAAUACUUUUAUCAUAAAUAAUCAUUUUAUUGCUUAAAAAUUGAAUUUUCCUGAGCUCCCUUAUUCAAAUACAUGGAAGCUGUCAUUUCUAACACCAUUGGCCACCUAGCGGCCAUUUCAAACUGGAUACGUCUAUUGUAAAAUGUUUGGUUAAAAUUGCCGGUUUCUGUGAAUUCCGUUACAAAUCCUGCUUACUAAAUGCCAGCGUCACCCUCGUGGGAUGUGGACAACCGGAGAGCAGGAACACAGCCAAAAAAUGAUGCCACAUCAACCCAUUUUUGCUGGGCCCGAUCGGUUUGGACCUGUGCUGGAGGAGGGCAAGGUUAAUUUGAGGACCACGAACGACGUGGGGGUUCCGUCGUCCUGCGCCUGCUGGAGGUCGAGCAUCCAGCCACAAGGUGCUCUUAACGUUGGUCCAGAUCCAGAACGAGAAGUUCGAUGGACGAACCUCGUCAGUUGUCGUCAUCGUUAUCAAGUUGCUGGUAAUGUAAAAGAUUCCCCUGGCUUAUAUCACCGAUUCGGCUAUCAGCUGGGCUGCAAGGUGGACGAGUUGGAUCGUGAAAUGAACACAAUUCAAAAAUGUGGUUGCGGAGGUUGCUGCGCCGUUGUGACCCUUUCAAUUUAUCUCGUUGAAUUCGUUGGAACAGCAGGUCAUCGCCGAGUAUGCCACUUUACUGAUGAUGAUCUAAAAAUCCUCCGCCGUCACCGCUGCCAAGGACGCUACCGAUUGCAUGGCCAGCUUCUACUGAAGCAAUCGGCCUUGGCUUAAUUCUACAGGUCGCAUUGCACGACAGUCACAAUAGUUUCAAAACGGAGACAUCGGUCGUCGCUGGGGAGAAGUGCACAAUCACACGCCGUGGAGUACCGACGUUGCGCCGCUCUGUCGGUUCCGGGCUAGCUUUGCGCGAGGUCACAUGAUUACAAUCUUUGUCGAGCUGAAUCCUGCUAAGAGAUGCUGUUUGAACAUCAAAACAGCAGCAUGCUGAACACGAGUAAGGUUACUUUUUAUUUCCAUCCUUUUCUGGAUUAUUUGUUUGAUUAGUUUUUCAUUUCUACUUAAGUUUUUAUAUUACUCCGUUGAAUCAAAAAUCUGGGCGAUAAUUAUCAAAAUCUUUGCCUUGGUAUUUUAAAAAGGUUUGCUUUAGUUUGUUUUCUGGUCAAACAAAAGUAAUUUCAUAGCUUAGUUUGAUAAGAAAGUAAUCUAAAUGUGUGCCUUUCUAAACUGCAUCAGGAUACAAAAGUAUUUGAAAAUUACAUCAGAUUCAAGAUUCAACGGAGUAAAAAAAUUUCGAUUUGGGUAAAUUUACGUAGAUUUCAUCGGAAAUUUACAUGUUUUCGAAACGCUUUUUGUUCGGCACAAUUACAUCGGAUGGCAUUUAAAUUUAAAAUGAAUUUGAUGUAAAUUCGCAUCAUUUAUGACGUGCACUUUUGGUACAUCAUUAAUGAUGUAAAUUUACCGGAUUUUUUUUUUCU